RNAcentral lists this ribosomal RNA (377 nucleotides) under uncultured bacterium. RNAcentral describes it as "bacterial SSU rRNA". It matches the Rfam family "Bacterial small subunit ribosomal RNA", at positions 8 to 389 of the family's 1533-position model. The record is from RNAcentral.
AGAGUUUGAUCCUGGCUCAGAUUGAACGCUGGCGGCAUGCCUUACACAUGCAAGUCGAACGGUAACAGCACUUCGGUGGCUGACGAGUGGCGAACGGGUGAGCAAUACAUCGGAACGUGCCCGAGAGUGGGGGAUAACGCAGCGAAAGCUGUGCUAAUACCGCAUACGAUCUACGGAUGAAAGCAGGGGACCGCAAGGCCUUGCGCUCAUGGAGCGGCCGAUGGCAGAUUAGGUAGUUGGUGGGAUAAAAGCUUACCAAGCCGACGAUCUGUAGCUGGUCUGAGAGGACGACCAGCCACACUGGGACUGAGACACGGCCCAGACUCCUACGGGAGGCAGCAGUGGGGAAUUUUGGACAAUGGGCGAAAGCCUGAUCC